RNAcentral lists this long non-coding RNA (932 nucleotides) under Arabidopsis lyrata. RNAcentral describes it as "long non-coding RNA (ALYR_LNC003385)". The record is from RNAcentral. Lineage: Eukaryota; Viridiplantae; Streptophyta; Magnoliopsida; Brassicales; Brassicaceae.
AUUGAUUUCAUGCAUAGCAUAUGCUCCGUCGUCUUCUCCCUUUUCACUCCAAAAUUUCUUGUUUUGUUUGUGCUCUUAGUCACCGUCGUUGGUUUUAAAUCUACUGUUUCUUCAUCGUUUGCAAAAAAACUCUAGCUAUGUAUCUUGGUCGUUUCUUCUUCCCAGAUCCACUUACGUCUUUACCUAUUUUCUUAGAUCCGGUUUGGACAUUCACAAAUCUGCAUAGAUCUAUACUUUUGUGUUUGCAUGUUCGUAAGUUUUCUUGCGGGUCCAUUAACUAUUCAUCCCCCUCUUAAUCCACAUCCAGCAAGACCAACCUUGUUCUGUCUCUACAUGUUCAUGUUUUUAGCAAUCCAAGUUAAUACAUGGAUAUUCACAAUUGGAUAAGACUCAUUAUUUGCAAACGUAGAGCUCUAGCUAUCUAAUAAGUAGAGAUACAAGUAGAGAUACAUUAUUUGCAAACUCUAGCUAUCUAAUAAGUAGAGAUACAAGUAGAUCCGGAGAGGUCUAACAGAAAAGUUAGAGUGUAAGAUUGGAAAACACCAGUCAAAAUUAGAGUGAAACAAUUGAAACGACGGGUGAUAAGAUCGGAAAAACAAAAAAAAAAUCGAGAAACAAAACUUCGUGUAAAUUCUACCCUCUGGCUUACCGAAUUAGAGAGGAAGACGCUUUGAGACGGCGACUUAAUAGUGACAACGGCAUAAUUUAUGUACUUCACCGGAGCAAAAACAAGUUCUCGAAGACGAAGAUGAGAGGACGACGAGACUAAGAGAAAGGUUUUGAGAGAGAAAAAAUAUGAGACAAAGAUGAAGAUGGUUUACGGCGACGGUGGCGUGAAGACUUAAGGCGACAGAAGAAUAUUACAGAGGAGAGAUAAAAUGGAACAAUGAAGAAAGUUAAAUGGGUAUCCAAAAGUCUGAUAUUAACAAAAA